Molecule: ribosomal RNA, 449 nt
Filed under: uncultured bacterium
Lineage: Bacteria
Description: bacterial SSU rRNA
Rfam family: Bacterial small subunit ribosomal RNA
Source: RNAcentral
AACGAACGCUGGCGGCAUGCCUAACACAUGCAAGUCGAACGAAGUCUUCGGACUUAGUGGCGCACGGGUGCGUAACGCGUGGGAAUCUGCCCUUGGGUGCGGAAUAACUUCUCGAAAGGGAUGCUAAUACCGCAUAAUGUCGUAAGACCAAAGAUUUAUCGCCCAAGGAUGAGCCCGCGUAAGAUUAGCUAGUUGGUGGGUAAAAGCCUACCAAGGCGACGAUCUUUAGCUGGUCUGAGAGGAUGAUCAGCCACACUGGGACUGAGACACGGCCCAGACUCCUACGGGAGGCAGCAGUGGGGAAUAUUGGACAAUGGGCGAAAGCCUGAUCCAGCAAUGCCGCGUGAGUGAUGAAGGCCCUAGGGUUGUAAAGCUCUUUUACCCGAGAUGAUAAUGACAGUAUCGGGAGAAUAAGCUCCGGCUAACUCCGUGCCAGCAGCCGCGGUAAU